AACUGAUACUACCUGCGGGAACCUGCGGAGGGAUCAUUAACGUAUAUCUCCGAUGGGGUGCGGCGCACCCUGCUCCGGCCCAUUGGGUCGUGAAGCGGGUGGGCCGCCCUCGUCCAAACCUCACAAACCCACUGUGAACCUUCACGGCGGAGGGGUUCCACGGCUCGCGCUGUGAACUCUGAGGCCGCAUACCAAACCCCAGUUUACAAAGAAUCUCGUGCGGACGCUGUGCCGCCUAAA
Molecule: unclassified non-coding RNA, 240 nt
Filed under: soil metagenome
Description: partial contains 5.8S ribosomal RNA, internal transcribed spacer 2, and large subunit ribosomal RNA
Source: RNAcentral